GAAAUGCGAUAAGUAAUGUGAAUUGCAGAAUUCCGUGAAUCAUCGAAUCUUUUAACGCACAUUGCGCCCUCUGGCAUUCCGGGGGGCAUGCCUGUCCGAGCGUCAUUACGCACCCUCAAGCCCGGCUUGUGUGAUGGGCCCCGGCGUCUCGUUCGCGAGACGGGCCCGAAAGGCAGCGGCGGCGUCGACCCGAUGAGCCCGAGCGUAUGGGGACUUCUGUCACACGUUCGCGGUGCGGACCGGCGCCUGCUUUGACUUUUCUGAUUAUCCAGGUUGACCUCGGAUCAGGUAGGGAUACCCGCUGAACUUAAGC
This 313-nucleotide unclassified non-coding RNA is filed under the name plant metagenome. RNAcentral describes it as "partial contains 5.8S ribosomal RNA, internal transcribed spacer 2, and large subunit ribosomal RNA". The stretch from base 1 to 105 matches the Rfam family "5.8S ribosomal RNA", at positions 50 to 154 of the family's 154-position model. The record is from RNAcentral.